CGCGUCUUCGGCGAACGUGACGCACCCGCAGGCAGACGAGAGACCCUCCGGCGGGACAGAGUGAGACAUGGGCCAGCAGGAGGUGACGGUGAGCGCCACGUCGCUGGCCGUGGGUGUGGGGGCGACGCUGGCGCUGGGCUUCGUGUGCGGCUACCAGUUCAAGGCGUGGCGGAUCGAGUGGCUGAAGCGGCGGCGGGAGCGGCUGCAGAGGAAGAUCCAGCAGACGCAGGCGGAGAUCGACCUGCUGCAGAAGGGGCACUGAGGGCGCCUUCCUCGUACUGCCUGCUGCCGUCCAUCAUAUGAAUAGCUUUGUUAAUUCUGUAUCGCAAAAUAGGAAGUAAUUGACGUAGAACUUAAUUUAACAAAAUUGAACAAUAGUGCCAUAUUUCUAACCCAACUCAGGGCUUUGGUGAAGAGUAUUUUAUAGGUGGAAACAUAUUCAUUAAAAUAGAAUUUUGAGAAUACAUAAUUAAAUCUUGCACAAAAAAAAAUAUGAUCGUUGGUGGUCAGUGUGAAGAGGACCUGCAAUCCAGCUACCCGAGAGGUUGUGCAAUAUUAUGGCAGCUGGAGCAUUGGCCUCUCAAUUCUGGAACUGCGACAGAACGGCACAAGACGUAUUCUGGGGUGUCACAUAUAUGUCAUGUAAUGCCUGGGAACAUCUGCAUAACACGGAGCAUCUAACCAUGAAGAAUCAAGAAUUAUUAACCACUGGUGCUAUUAAGGUGUCUUUGAAGUGUUGUUCUAAGCUUUAUAUAUUCAAAACAGGGCUCAGUCUAUACAAAAGAACAGGACGGAGGAGCUAACCCAAGGGAUGAAUUGACAAAUAAUUAUAGUUCCAAAUUAGUUGACAAUAUUUAUGUACAUGAAGAAUAAAACUUUGUAUGGCAUUUUAUAUUUCUUUGUAUAUAUGCAAUUCUAUGUGGUCAAGUAUAGUUUUGAGUAAAUUCA
Penaeus indicus is the source of this 948-nucleotide long non-coding RNA. RefSeq lists it as uncharacterized. Lineage: Eukaryota; Metazoa; Arthropoda; Malacostraca; Decapoda; Penaeidae. The transcript has 3 exons. The record is from RefSeq and is a predicted model, not a curated record.